Leopardus geoffroyi (Geoffroy's cat) is the source of this 2521-nucleotide long non-coding RNA. RefSeq lists it as uncharacterized. The transcript is spliced from 2 exons. NCBI's taxonomy places the organism in Eukaryota, Metazoa, Chordata, Mammalia, Carnivora, Felidae. The record is from RefSeq and is a predicted model, not a curated record.
AUCAUUUCUAGUUUCUGAUAACAUUCAGCAAGAAAGCACCACAUUAAACAGUGAUCAUAAGGGUUUCUGCAGAUCAUAUUUGAUUGUAUGUUGGAUCGCUAAAGGUGACAACUUUCAAAAUGUGGUUUGGAACAGGGUGAUAUUGUUGUUUUAUUUCCCUUCUUUCAUUGGAGAACAGUAAAUAAGUUAGAGGCAGCAUGGAGUACAAUAAUUUAAAAAAAUGAUUUACAGGUAAAGCAAACUUUACAUACGCCAGUUUUUACAAGUCUUAUUCUCUCCUAUGUCUGGGCUGUUAAAUACUUCCUGAAAAUCACAUUGUGGUGAUUGAUGCUUCCACAAGGCAUGUGACCCAGUCUCAGAUGGAUCUUCAGCACUUGCUAGUUAUAGCAGUCUUUGGAUCUCAUAUCCUACAAUUGAUAUUUAAAAUCCUCAGGACAUUCCUCAAGCUCUUUACUCCACCCUGACUCCUUCUUUGGUAUCGCUUUCUUACUCUGCCAUAACAAUUGAAACCCUUUGAAAUAAAAUAUAUCAAUUUCCUAUCCACAUUCAAAAGUAUGUAAAUCUUUACUACAUUUUCCCCUUCAUGUUCUUCAUCCAGAGGCGUGAGUAUCUCUCCUCUCUAAAACAGGCAUACCUUGUCUCGUUUCAUUGCAUUUCACAGUACUGCGUUUUUACCAAUUGAAAGUUUAUUGCAAUCCUGCAGCGAGCAGGCAUAUUUCCAACAACAUUGGCUUACUUCAUGUCUCUGUAUUACAUUUUGGUAAUUUCACAAUAUUUAAAACUUUUUCAUUAUUAUUAUAUUUGGUAUGUUAAUCUGUAGUCAGUGGUCUUUGAUAUUACUAUUGAAACUGUUUUCAGGCACCAUGAACCAGGCCCAUAUACGAGAGCAAACCUAAUCAAUACAUGUGUGUGUUCUGACUGCCCACAUUCCUUCACCUCGAGCCUCCCUAUUCUCUGAGACACAGCAAUAUUGAAAUUAGGCCAGUCAAUAAGCUUACAAUGGCUUCUGGGUGUUCAAAUGAAAGGAAGAGUCAGACAUCUCUUACUUUCACACAAAAGCUAGAAAUGAUUAAGCUUAACGAGGAAGGAAUGUCAAAAGCUGAAAUAGGCUGAAGGCUAGGUUUCUUGUGCUAACCAGUUAGCCAAGUUGUGCAUGCAGAGGAAAAGUUCUUAUGAUUAGAAGUGCAGGUCUAGUGAGCACAUGAAUGAUAAGAGAACAAAACAGCCUUAUUGCUGAUUUGAAGAAAGUUUUAGUGGUCUGAAUAGAAGAUCAGAUCAGCCACAUUAUUCACUUAAGCCAGAGCCUAAUCCAGAGCAAGGCUCUUACUCUCUUCAAUUCUGUGAAGACUGAAAGAGGGGAGGAAGCUGCAGAAGAAAAGUUUAAAACUAGCUCAGGUUGGUUCAUGAGGUUUAGAGUAGAGAAAAGAGGAAAUGGCUUCACAGCUGACACUUUUGUUGGGGACUAAUGUGGCUGGUGACUUUCAGUUGAAGCCAAUGCACAUUUGCCAUUCUGAGAAUCCUACAGCCCUUAAGAAUUAUGCUAAAUCUAAUCUGUCUGUGCUCUGUAAAGGGAACAACAAAGACUGGAUGACAGCACAUCUGUUGACAACAUGGUUUACUGAAUAUUUUAAGCCCUCUGUUGAGAACUACUUAUCAGAAAAAAAAAAAAAAAAAGAUUCCUUUCAAAAUACUACUGCUCCUUGACAACACACCUGGUCACCCAAGAACUCUGAUGGAGAUGUACGUGAGAUUAAUGUUGUUCUCAUGCCUGCUAUCACAACAUCCAUUCUGAGGCCCUUGAAUCAAGGAGCAAUUUCAACUUUCAAAUUUUAUUAUUUAAGAACUGCAUUUCAUAAGGCUCUAGGUGUCACAGAUGGUGAUUUCUCUCAUGUCUCUUGGCAAAGCAAAUUGAAAAAUCUAUGAAAAGGAUUCACUAUUCUGGAUACCAUUAAGAACUUUCAUGAUUCAUGGGAAGAUGCAAAAUAUCAUCAACAUGGGCAGGAGAUGGGAAGAAGUUGAUUCUAACCCUCAGGGAUGACUUUGUGAGGUUCAAGACUUCAGUGGAGGAAGUAGCUGUAGAUGUGGUGGAACUAGAAAGAGAAAUAGAAUUAGAAGUGGAGCCUGAGGAUUUCACUGAAUUCUUCUAAUCUCAUGAUAAAUCUUGAGCAGAUGAAGAGUUGCUUCUUAUGGAUGAGCAAAUAAAGUAGUUUCUUGAGGUGGAAUAUACUCCUGGUGAAGAUGCUGUGAAGAUUGUUGAAAUGACAACAAAGGAUUUAGAAUAUUACAUCAACUUAGCUGAUAAAGCAUGGCUAGGUUUGAGAGGAUUGGCUCCCAUUUUGAAAGAAGUUCAGUGAAAUUUCCACAGAUGCCCCCCCCACCGCCAACCUUCAGCAACCAUUACCCUGAUCAGUCAACAGCCAUCAACAUGGAGGCAAGACCCUCCACUAACAAAAAGACUAUGACUCGCUGAAAGCUCAUAUGAUGGUUAGCAUUUUUUAGCAAUAAAGUAUUUUUAAAUUAA